This 900-nucleotide ribosomal RNA is filed under the name uncultured archaeon. Its description in RNAcentral is "bacterial SSU rRNA". It matches the Rfam family "Archaeal small subunit ribosomal RNA", at positions 1 to 878 of the family's 1478-position model. The record is from RNAcentral.
UUCCGGUUGAUCCUGCCGGACCCUACUGCUAUCGGGGGAGGACUAAAACAUGCAAGUCGUGCGUCUCCAAGCUAUGAUGGAGACGCGGCGUACAGCUCAGUAACACGUGGCUAACCCACCCUUGAGACGGAGACAACCCCGGGAAACUGGGGCUAAUCCCCGAUAGGAGAAGACACCUGGAAGGGGUCUUUUCCCAAAAGGCGCUUAGAUCAUGCUUCUAGACGUCGCUCAAGGACGGGGCCGCGGCCGAUCAGGUUGUUGGUGUGGUAAUGGCUCACCAAGCCUAUAACCGGUACGGGCCGUGAGAGCGGGAGCCCGGAGAUGGGCACUGAGAUAAGGGCCCAGGCCCUACGGGGCGCAGCAGUCGCGAAAACUCCGCAAUGCGCGAAAGCGUGACGGGGCUACCCCGAGUGCCGUCCGCUGAGGAUGGCUUUUCCCCGGUGUAAUGAGCCGGGGGAAUAAGGAGAGGGCAAGUCUGGUGUCAGCCGCCGCGGUAAUACCAGCUCUCCGAGUAGUAGGGACGAUUAUUGGGCUUAAAGCGUCCGUAGCCGGCUUAGCAAGUCCUCUGUUAAAUUCAGCGACCUAAUCGCUGAGCCGCGGGAGAUACUACUAGGCUAGGAGGCGGGAGAGGCCGACGGUAUUCCCGGGGUAGGGGUGAAAUCCUAUAAUCCCGGGAGGACCACCAGUGGCGAAGGCUGUCGGCUAGAACGCGCUCGACGGUGAGGGACGAAAGCUGGGGGAGCGAACCGGAUUAGAUACCCGGGUAGUCCCAGCUGUAAACGAUGCAGGCUAGGUGUUGGAGCGGCUACGAGCCGCUUCGGUGCCGCAGGGAAACCGUUAAGCCUGCCGCCUGGGGAGUACGGUCGCAAGGCUGAAACUUAAGGAAUUGGCGGGGGAGCA